CGGGGAAUAUUGCACAAUGGAGGGAACUCUGAUGCAGCGACGCCGCGUGAGUGAUGAAGGAAGUCGUUUCGUAAAACUCUGUUCUAUGGGAAGAAAAGGACUGUACCAUAGGAGAAAGCUCCGGCUAAAUACGUGCCAGCAGCCGCGGUAAUACGUAUGGAGCGAGCGUUGUCCGGAAUUAUUGGGCGUAAAGGGUGCGCAGGCGGCUUUACAAGUUGGAUGUGAAAUAUUGUGGCUCAACCACAAACGUGCAUCCAAAACUGCAAAGCUUGAGUGAAGGAGAGGUAAGUGGAAUUCCUGGUGUAGCGGUGGAAUGCGUAGAUAUCAGGAGGAAUACCGGUGGCGAAGGCGACUUACUGGACUUAAGAUGACGCUCAGGCACGAAAGCGUGAGGAGCAAACAGG
Molecule: ribosomal RNA, 404 nt
Filed under: Fusobacteriota bacterium
Lineage: Bacteria; Fusobacteriati; Fusobacteriota
Description: Fusobacteria bacterium partial 16S ribosomal RNA
Rfam family: Bacterial small subunit ribosomal RNA
Source: RNAcentral